This 221-nucleotide unclassified non-coding RNA is filed under the name Glomus sp. Its description in RNAcentral is "partial contains 5.8S ribosomal RNA and internal transcribed spacer 2". The stretch from base 1 to 71 matches the Rfam family "5.8S ribosomal RNA", at positions 84 to 154 of the family's 154-position model. The record is from RNAcentral. Lineage: Eukaryota; Fungi; Glomeromycota; Glomeromycetes; Glomerales; Glomeraceae.
GUGAAUCAUCGAAUUUUUGAACGCAAAUUGCACUUUCUGGUAUUCCGGAAAGUAUGCCUGUUUGAGGGUCAGUUAAAUUAAAAUAGGUGUUGUUGUUGCUUUUCGUGGUGACGCGUCGGAAUUGCGUUGUCUUAAUUUUGGUUAAGUGACUUUAAAUUUUGCAUGAUUUUCGCAUGUAUUUAAAUUUCUUAAGUAUGUUUGUGGUACUGAACACUUUACUA